Molecule: ribosomal RNA, 446 nt
Filed under: uncultured bacterium
Lineage: Bacteria
Description: bacterial SSU rRNA
Rfam family: Bacterial small subunit ribosomal RNA
Source: RNAcentral
UGCCAGACUCCUACGGGAGGCAGCAGUGGGGGAUAUUGCACAAUGGGGGAAACCCUGAUGCAGCGACGCCGCGUGAAGGAAGAAGUAUCUCGGUAUGUAAACUUCUAUCAGCAGGGAAGAAAAUGACGGUACCUGACCAAGAAGCCCCGGCUAACUACGUGCCAGCAGCCGCGGUAAUACGUAGGGGGCAAGCGUUAUCCGGAUUUACUGGGUGUAAAGGGCGUGUAGGCGGGGACGCAAGUCAGAUGUGAAAACCAUGGGCUCAACCUGUGGCCUGCAUUUGAAACUGUGUUUCUUGAGUACUGGAGAGGCAGACGGAAUUCCUAGUGUAGCGGUGAAAUGCGUAGAUAUUAGGAGGAACACCAGUGGCGAAGGCGGUCUGCUGGACAGCAACUGACGCUGAGGCGCGAAAGCGUGGGGAGCAAACAGGAUUAGAUACCCGUGUA